ACUAAUAGCUGUUGCCCGGGGACAAGUUUGUCUUGAAAACAAACUUUGAGUGUUCGACUCACUCAAUAGCUUA
This 73-nucleotide transfer RNA is filed under the name Purpuradusta gracilis. RNAcentral describes it as "tRNA-Ser". It matches the Rfam family "tRNA". From Rfam's summary of the family: Transfer RNA (tRNA) molecules are approximately 80 nucleotides in length. The record is from RNAcentral. Lineage: Eukaryota; Metazoa; Mollusca; Gastropoda; Littorinimorpha; Cypraeidae.